UGUGCUGGGUUACAUCAUAUCAUAGUGUAAUGCCUUUAAAUCAUUAAUCUGCCUUGCUUCUGGACUAGUGCCAGAAAAACCAAUGAAGGCCAGGCUGAGUUCAGAUCAAACCAGAGGACAUUGUGGUUACAUUUAUGUUUUUUCAGAGGAUCUCUCACCUGCAACCACAAAUCUGCCUUUAUUUGGCUUGAACAUGAUCCAAAAUUACCUCAGAGGUCAACAGUGCAUGUCUUACGGAUUAGUGAAAACUACUGACUAACCUAACGUAAUGCAUGAUGACUGUUAUUAUUCCGGGAAAUAAGGGUGGCUGUAGUCUGUUGUUUUGUAAUAAAAUCUAACAUUAAUUUUUCCCAUUUGCAAAAAUACCCAGGAAAAAAAGGGCCAGAAAAAAAAAAAAAAAGGCAUGGGAGUGUUCUGCCCUCUUCAUCUUGUUAAAUGCCACAACCCUUGCUACAAAGAAUUCCUUGUAGGCAGCACUCCAAAUCCGCUUUACAAAUGGGCAUUAAUGAAACUUCCCAGCACCUCCACAAGGCCCCAGGGACACAGAAAUUCACAGGCUGACUGGAAGCCACCCUAAUGCUGAGGGGCAAGAAGGAAGAAAUCAUCAGCCAUCAUUAUAGCAUGUGGCCCAGACAGAGCACACCAUGAUCCCUCAGGUGGAAAAGCCUCUCCAUUUGUUUGCCCAUGUGUGGGGAAAACACUGACUUUCAGCAAGAAGCAGCUCUGCAGGGAAUGGUGGGGAAGGCGCCAUAUGGUGCAGGCGGAACAUCUGUGAAUCUCUGACGCUGCAGUUCUGCUUCAUGGGCAUGAGUGCAUUUCACACGUGUGCUAAGGAGAAAGGAAUAUGACACAAGGACUUUCCAGGAGCCUUGAUGUAUGAGAAAUAGAAUGAAUUUGCUAGAGGAGACUGUAAAAAAAUCCGACACUACAUUGUGUUAAUAAUGGAACCGUGUUGCCCAUAUUUGCUGCCUUUCCUGUUGAAUUGCUGUGUCUAUUUUCUAUUGCCAUCGUACAGCACUGAAAAUAAAUCUCGUGGCGAACAGGGAUGGCUCAUCUUACAACUUGUAGAAAGGUUAAUUAAAUGUGCGUGGUGCUGGCACUUGUUCACAGCAGCCUGAACCCGGGGAUGACAGAUUGCCGGGGGCAUGUGAGCAGCUUCCUCCCUCAGCCCCACACAGCCCACAGCUCACGGAGCCGCACAGGGCACAGUGUUUGGAGAAUGUGUCCUCUGGGCAGCAACUCCUCUGCUACAGCUAAAGUUAUUCACAUACACAGGGACUUGAUGCAAAAGGGAGUUCAGCGGCUGUGUGUUUCAGACAAUGUUUUUGUGGCCUUUUCCUGACUUUUCAGAAGGCUCAUCGGUCUGCUUACAACCACCUCUUUUUCUUUUGGACUUGUCACCUUUCACUUGCAAUGAUCCUGCUGUUGUGCAGCGGUAAUGAUGUGGACAAGCACUUGAGUGGAGGCUGAUGCACACUUUGAACACAAUCUCUCUUCUUGGUUUUGCCCACAUAGCAGGGCACAGCUCUGUGUUCAGAACCACUGGUAACAUCAAGCACCCAGACACUCCCAGGGACUGGCAAUGCUAAGAAUGACCUAACAUUUAAUGCACUUCACAGGGACUGCUGAGACACAGUUCAGCUGUUGGCUCUGUAGAAAAUCCAGUGAUUUCUUAGCUAAAAAGUACAACCAUAAUCUUUAACUAUAAGAAUAGCAAAUACAGGAGCAGACAGUCAUUGCUACUACUUAGGAUUGUAGUUCAGUGCCUGCAGUGCCUUGCUGAGACUCUUGCAUUUGUGGCUUCCUUGCCCCUUCAUUUUUUGCUCUGCUUAGCCCUAAAAAUGGCAUGUGGGAGUGUAUUGGGAUAAUUAAGGAGAUUUAGGAGUAAAAUCCUAGUCAAGUCUGUGAGAAAAUCUCUGUUAAGUGGCACCAGCUGAAGACUCCAUUCCCACAUAUGGGAAUACAUACACAUGAGCAACCU
Molecule: long non-coding RNA, 1981 nt
Organism: Prinia subflava (tawny-flanked prinia)
Lineage: Eukaryota; Metazoa; Chordata; Aves; Passeriformes; Cisticolidae
Exons: 3
Source: RefSeq, a predicted model, not a curated record